RNAcentral lists this long non-coding RNA (202 nucleotides) under Elaeis guineensis (African oil palm). RNAcentral's name for it is "long non-coding RNA (EGUI_LNC046748)". Lineage: Eukaryota; Viridiplantae; Streptophyta; Magnoliopsida; Arecales; Arecaceae. The record is from RNAcentral.
GGUCCAUGCAAAAUUUUCUCCAACAUUGUUUAUUCUCUCUUUCUAUUUUCUUGUAGUCCAAAUUUUGUCUUUAGAAUUUCAUACCCAUUUUGUAGGAAAUUCAGCAUAUGUUAACUUCCAAGCAUCUUCACAUAUUUUAUUAGUUUGCAAUCAUUCAAUGAGCAUUAUUUUUUCUACAUCUUUUCUAUUAAGAAUAAUAGAU